This 468-nucleotide ribosomal RNA is filed under the name uncultured bacterium. RNAcentral's name for it is "partial 16S ribosomal RNA". It matches the Rfam family "Bacterial small subunit ribosomal RNA", at positions 28 to 507 of the family's 1533-position model. The record is from RNAcentral.
GACGAACGCUGGCGGCGUGCUUAACACAUGCAAGUCGAACGGAAAGGCCCUGCUUUUGUGGGGUGCUCGAGUGGCGAACGGGUGAGUAACACGUGAGUAACCUGCCCUUGACUUUGGGAUAACUUCAGGAAACUGGGGCUAAUACCGGAUAGGAUCUCCUGCUGCAUGGUGGGGGUUGGAACGUUUCGGCUGUUGGGGAUGGACUCGCGGCUUAUCAGCUUGUUGGUGGGGUAGUGGCUUACCAAGGCUUUGACGGGUAGCCGGCCUGAGAGGGUGACCGGCCACAUUGGGACUGAGAUACGGCCCAGACUCCUACGGGAGGCAGCAGUGGGGAAUAUUGCACAAUGGGCGGAAGCCUGAUGCAGCAACGCCGCGUGCGGGAUGACGGCCUUCGGGUUGUAAACCGCUUUCGCCUGUGACGAAGCGUGAGUGACGGUAAUGGGUAAAGAAGCACCGGCUAACUACGUG